RNAcentral lists this ribosomal RNA (222 nucleotides) under uncultured bacterium. Its description in RNAcentral is "partial 16S ribosomal RNA". It matches the Rfam family "Bacterial small subunit ribosomal RNA", at positions 112 to 334 of the family's 1533-position model. The record is from RNAcentral.
CGGACGUGAGGAACCUGCCUUUCAGAGGGGGACAACAGUUGGAAACGACUGCUAAUACCGCAUGACACAUAGAGAUCGCAUGGUUUUUAUGUCAAAGAUUUAUCGCUGAAAGAUGGCCUCGCGUCUGAUUAGCUAGUUGGUGAGGUAACGGCCCACCAAGGCGACGAUCAGUAGCCGGACUGAGAGGUUGAACGGCCACAUUGGGACUGAGACACGGCCCAG